This 104-nucleotide transfer RNA is filed under the name Fusarium solani. It matches the Rfam family "tRNA". Rfam says of the family: Transfer RNA (tRNA) molecules are approximately 80 nucleotides in length. Their secondary structure includes four short double-helical elements and three loops (D, anti-codon, and T loops). The record is from Rfam by way of RNAcentral. RNAcentral also lists the same sequence under 5 other names. Lineage: Eukaryota; Fungi; Ascomycota; Sordariomycetes; Hypocreales; Nectriaceae.
GCCCGGUUAGCUCAAUCGGUAGAGCGUGAGACUCUUAUCUUGCGCCUACAAGCGAAGACGAGUACGCGAUCUCAAGGUUGCGGGUUCGACCCCCGCAUCGGGCU